UACGAAGGUGGCAAGCGUUGUUCGGAAUCACUGGGCUUAAAGAGCACGUAGGCGGCCUCAUAAGCGCUUUGUGAAAUCCCUCGGCUCAACCGGGGAAUUGCUGGGCGAACUGUGAGGCUUGAGGCAAGUAGGGGUGCAUGGAACUCUUGGUGGAGCGGUGAAAUGCGUAGAUAUCAAGAGGAACGCCGGUGGCGAAAGCGGUGCACUGGGCUUGUCCUGACGCUGAGGUGCGAAAGCUAGGGGAGCAAACGGG
This 253-nucleotide ribosomal RNA is filed under the name uncultured bacterium. Its description in RNAcentral is "partial 16S ribosomal RNA". It matches the Rfam family "Bacterial small subunit ribosomal RNA", at positions 524 to 776 of the family's 1533-position model. The record is from RNAcentral.